RNAcentral lists this ribosomal RNA (451 nucleotides) under uncultured organism. Its description in RNAcentral is "partial 16S ribosomal RNA". It matches the Rfam family "Bacterial small subunit ribosomal RNA", at positions 334 to 801 of the family's 1533-position model. The record is from RNAcentral.
CACUCCUACGGGAGGCAGCAGUGGGGAAUAUUGGACAAUGGGCGCAAGCCUGAUCCAGCCAUGCCGCGUGAGUGAUGAAGGCCCUAGGGUUGUAAAGCUCUUUCACCGGUGAAGAUAAUGACGGUAACCGGAGAAGAAGCCCCGGCUAACUUCGUGCCAGCAGCCGCGGUAAUACGAAGGGGGCUAGCGUUGUUCGGAUUUACUGGGCGUAAAGCGCACGUAGGCGGACUAUUAAGUCAGGGGUGAAAUCCCGGGGCUCAACCCCGGAACUGCCUUUGAUACUGGUAGUCUUGAGUUCGAGAGAGGUGAGUGGAAUUCCGAGUGUAGAGGUGAAAUUCGUAGAUAUUCGGAGGAACACCAGUGGCGAAGGCGGCUCACUGGCUCGAUACUGACGCUGAGGGGCGAAAGCGUGGGGAGCAAACAGGAUUAGAAACCCGAGUAGUCCCAUGAU